Microcebus murinus (gray mouse lemur) is the source of this 102-nucleotide small nuclear RNA. The record is from Ensembl. Lineage: Eukaryota; Metazoa; Chordata; Mammalia; Primates; Cheirogaleidae.
GUUCUCAGCCCAGCAGCUCCUAUGUUAAAAUAGGAACACUACAGAGAAGAUUAGCAUGUCCCCUGUAUCCAAAGUACAAUGUGAUUUGAGGAGCAAGUGUUG